UGUCGGGCAUACAUACGACCUUAUUCCCCCCUCUAUUGAGUAUCAUGCUGGCAGAUUCGAGUAAUGAGGUGGCCGUACAACAGUAGUCGGAUGCAGCAGCCUCGGCUUGGCCUUGAAGGCCUUAUCCGAUGUUAUAGAUAGAGGCAAAGAUGCCGCUUAGCACUUCAUGCGUGCUUUGCCGGCGUAUGAGCUUCAGGAAUAUACUGCUACUGUCGGUACAGUCAAGAACGCAUCUUCGCGGACGUUUUAAUUCAUAACCCAAAGGUCAAGAGCGCAAUAAUGACAGCCAGAAAUGUGCUUGCUUCCGCUUAAUGGAUUGUGUCUAUUCCUAAGCCUCCUCUAGAUCUUGUAUUAUUGUUUGUUCAUUUUUGGGAUUUUCUAUGUGAAACACGCAUUGUUUAUCAGGCAUGUAUAGAGGUCAGGCG
Molecule: small RNA, 425 nt
Filed under: Cryptococcus neoformans H99
Lineage: Eukaryota; Fungi; Basidiomycota; Tremellomycetes; Tremellales; Cryptococcaceae
Description: Cryptococcus neoformans var. grubii H99 hypothetical RNA
Source: RNAcentral